Molecule: ribosomal RNA, 537 nt
Filed under: uncultured bacterium
Lineage: Bacteria
Description: partial 16S ribosomal RNA
Rfam family: Bacterial small subunit ribosomal RNA
Source: RNAcentral
GACGAACGCUGGCGGCGUGCCUAAUACAUGCAAGUCGAACGAACUCUGGUUUUUGAUUGACGGUGCUUGCACCUGAUUGAUUAAACAUUUGAGCGAGUGGCGAACUGGUGAGUAACACGUAGGAAACCUGCCCAGAAGCGGGGGAUAACACCUGGAAACAGAUGCUAAUACCGCAUAACAACUCGAACCGCAUGGUUCGAGUUUGAAAGAUGGCUCUGCUAUCACUUCUGGAUGGUCCUGCGGCGUAUUAGCUAGAUGGUGAGGUAACGGCUCACCAUGGCAAUGAUACGUAGCCGACCUGAGAGGGUAAUCGGCCACAUUAGGACUGAGACACGGCCCAAACUCCUACGGGAGGCAGCAGUAGGGAAUCUUCCACAAUGGACGAAAGUCUGAUGGAGCAACGCCGCGUGAGUGAAGAAGGGUUUCGGCUCGUAAAACUCUGUUGUUAGAGAAGAACAUAUCUGAGAGUAACUGUUCAGGUAUUGACGGUAUCUAACCAGAAAGCCACGGCUAACUACAUGCCAGCCGCCGCCGUAA